AAAACAGUGCACGGGCAGUAACAGCGCAAGUGAGGAGCAAUCCGAUGCCUGUUUUUUGCUAGUUGG
This 66-nucleotide small nuclear RNA is filed under the name Rhinocladiella mackenziei CBS 650.93. RNAcentral describes it as "U4 spliceosomal RNA". It matches the Rfam family "U4 spliceosomal RNA", at positions 1 to 65 of the family's 138-position model. Rfam says of the family: U4 small nuclear RNA (U4 snRNA) is a component of the major U2-dependent spliceosome. The structure of U4 snRNA from yeast and human has been reported. Lineage: Eukaryota; Fungi; Ascomycota; Eurotiomycetes; Chaetothyriales; Herpotrichiellaceae. The record is from Rfam by way of RNAcentral.